This 75-nucleotide transfer RNA is filed under the name Planctomycetaceae bacterium. RNAcentral describes it as "tRNA-Pro". It matches the Rfam family "tRNA". From Rfam's summary of the family: Transfer RNA (tRNA) molecules are approximately 80 nucleotides in length. The record is from RNAcentral. Lineage: Bacteria; Pseudomonadati; Planctomycetota; Planctomycetia; Planctomycetales; Planctomycetaceae.
CAGGGUGUGGGGAAGUCUGGCUAACCCGCGUGCCUUGGGAGCACGAGAUCACUGGUUCAAAUCCAGUCACCCUGA